This is a long non-coding RNA of Hydra vulgaris (swiftwater hydra), 507 nucleotides long. RefSeq lists it as uncharacterized. The record is from RefSeq and is a predicted model, not a curated record. NCBI's taxonomy places the organism in Eukaryota, Metazoa, Cnidaria, Hydrozoa, Anthoathecata, Hydridae.
AGAUAUUGUUUUCGUAUGACCAAUAGUUUGGUUCGGCUCGAUUACUUUGUUAUUGAUUUUUGAAAUUAAAGCCCUGCGGCGAAAUAAAAUAUAAACGCGACUUUAAAGUUGUAAAGUUGUAAACGCAAGUUGAAAGUUGUAAGAAAAUCAGUAGCCAAGUAACCAAAGAGUUUAGAAAUGAAUUGCAUUCAAGUGCUUCAAAAUUCGAACUUUCUGUAUCAAUUAGCUACAAAUAUAGGAAUUCAUUGGAAAGAUUUGGGAAGAACUUUAAAUAUAGAAGAUUCAGUAAUAGAAAUAAUAGGAACAGAAAAUAAAAGAACUGUGGAUCAAGCAUACGAGUUGUUAAAAACAUGGAGAGAUAGCGUUAAUAAUCCAACCACUGAUGAUCUAAGAACAGCAUUCACAACUAUGAAAAGAGUUGACCUUGUGACACUGGUUAAUAAGUUAGAAAAAGAAUAUGUGUUGUAAUAUAUUUUUAUAUUUUGAAGAUUAAGCAAUACAAUUUAA